CAGAUCAUGCCUCUAAUCUCCUAUUCAAAGUUGGGAGCAUCCUCAGCCGUUGGAUCACACAAUAGAUGGAAUCUGGGUCGUCAGAUCGUGCCCAAGAAUCCUUAUUACACUUGAGAAUACUAUCAGCCAUUCAAUCUGGGUUGGGAUGAAUGUGGAUCGUCGGAUCACACAAAAUCAUCUCCACCUACCAUGGACUGUGCCUGUGGACUGUGAAAUAUUUUCAAUGGACUGCACCCUGACUUUGUGGACCGAGCGACUGAUCCACCAUGCACCGAAGGCUAUAAAAAUUAUUUUUAUAAUAUUUUUACUCAUUUUUUGCUCUAAUUUUUACCUAAAAAAUUAAAAAAAUAUACAUUAAAUUUUUUAUUAAUUUUUGAAUAUUUUGAUGCUUAAAUUUUUAAUUAAAUCAACAUCAAUUUUUCAUAAAUAUGCUCUAAUUUUAUAUUUUUUUAAAAUUAUUUAUUUUUAUAAAAAAAUCUAAUUUAUUUAUGAAAUUAAGUUUUUAAGAAUAUGUUUACACAAUAAAUUAUCAAAAAUAUCUUCAAUAAAUAUAAAAAUAUAUCACUUAUCAGUGUGACC
This 579-nucleotide long non-coding RNA is filed under the name Elaeis guineensis (African oil palm). RNAcentral describes it as "long non-coding RNA (EGUI_LNC058561)". The record is from RNAcentral. Lineage: Eukaryota; Viridiplantae; Streptophyta; Magnoliopsida; Arecales; Arecaceae.